CGAUUUUUAAAAUUCAAAAUUCCCUAAAUAUAGCCCGAGCUCGAUCCCUAUUCUCGGCCAUCUUCUCCUCUUCACAACCUGGCGGCAGCGCAGCUCUUCCGUCUGGUUUGUAUUUGACGUGACUUGGAGAAACGCUCAUCUUUGAUUUGCUUUGUUAGAAUUUAUAGAGUUGGUCGUACGCCUUCUUCUUCAUCGCAAGCCACCGAAAUCCAUAACUUCACUGAAGAGGCUAGUUAGUUGAAGGGCAUUUUAUCUAAAAGAGAUCAAGAAAUAAGAGAAAUGCGCCGACAACAAGAUUUGAUUUUGCAACAUUGUCCUCCCGAUGACAGCGAUGAUAGUGAUGAUGAUGAUGAUGAUGAUGAUGAUGAUGGCGGUGGUGGUGCUUCUUCUUAAAUUACAUAAAUGAACGAAAAAAAGACGAACGAAGCACCCUGAGGCAUGACGAUAUGUAUCUUUUGUUUUCACUUGUUAGAUUUGUUGUAUAGUUAUUUAUUAUGAGUUCUUGAAGUUUGGUAUGUUUGAGUUGAACUUGUUUGGAUGUUGUAGUUGUGUAUGAAUUUGAAAUGUUUAGUUGACGAUAUGUCUGUUGUAUGAAUUUGAUUUGUUGGAUUCGCAAAUUUGGUGAAGGAUGGUGUAUGAUUGUAAAAAGUUGAA
Long non-coding RNA from Zingiber officinale, 654 nucleotides. RefSeq lists it as uncharacterized. The record is from RefSeq and is a predicted model, not a curated record. Lineage: Eukaryota; Viridiplantae; Streptophyta; Magnoliopsida; Zingiberales; Zingiberaceae. The transcript is spliced from 4 exons.